GGGCGGUUAGCUCAGCUGGUUAGAGUGCUAGCUCGACAAGCUAGAAGUCACUGGUUCGAAUCCAGUACCGCCCA
Molecule: transfer RNA, 74 nt
Filed under: Actinomycetes bacterium
Lineage: Bacteria; Bacillati; Actinomycetota; Actinomycetes
Also listed under: 1 other name
Description: Actinobacteria bacterium tRNA-Val
Rfam family: tRNA
About the family: Transfer RNA (tRNA) molecules are approximately 80 nucleotides in length. Their secondary structure includes four short double-helical elements and three loops (D, anti-codon, and T loops).
Source: RNAcentral